Molecule: signal recognition particle RNA, 98 nt
Filed under: Clostridia bacterium
Lineage: Bacteria; Bacillati; Bacillota; Clostridia
Description: signal recognition particle sRNA small type
Rfam family: Bacterial small signal recognition particle RNA
About the family: The signal recognition particle (SRP) is a universally conserved ribonucleoprotein involved in the co-translational targeting of proteins to membranes. Archaeal SRP consists of a 7S RNA and homologues of the eukaryotic SRP19 and SRP54 proteins. In most bacteria, the SRP consists of a 4.5S RNA and the Ffh protein (a homologue of the eukaryotic SRP54 protein).
Source: RNAcentral
GGGCGGGUCCUGUGCGGCGGCAGAUUGUGAACCAUGUCAGGCGGGGAACCGAGCAGCAUUAAGCGUAUCGAGCCGUGCGCGCAGCAAAUCGGUCCGUU